UACGGAGGGUGCGAGCGUUAAUCGGAAUUACUGGGCGUAAAGGGUGCGUAGGUUGUUAUUUAAGUUAUCUGUGAAAUUCCUGGGCUCAACCUGGGACGGUCAGAUAAGACUGAGUGACUUGAGUAUGGGAGAGGGUAGUGGAAUUUCCGGUGUAGCGGUGAAAUGCGUAGAGAUCGGAAGGAACACCAGUGGCGAAGGCGGCUACCUGGCCUAAUACUGACACUGAGGCACGAAAGCGUGGGGAGCAAACAGG
RNAcentral lists this ribosomal RNA (253 nucleotides) under uncultured bacterium. RNAcentral describes it as "partial 16S ribosomal RNA". It matches the Rfam family "Bacterial small subunit ribosomal RNA", at positions 524 to 776 of the family's 1533-position model. The record is from RNAcentral.